UGCUACCUUCUAAGGUUUGGCAUGAUACAGCGAUAGAUUAAAGAUUGUUGGUUGCUUAGCCUCCAGUGGCAAAUAUUUCAUGUAUGUUUAGGACUAUGAUAUAGUGAUGACAUAAGGUUGUUUGCUAGUAUAAUAGUAUAACUUCCAUAGUUCAUUGACAAUCAUAUUAGUUUGUAGUUAGUUUCCAUGCUACCUUCUAAGGUUUGACACGAUACAGCGAUGAAUUAUUGAUUGUGGUUACUUAAAGUCCAGUGACAAAUAUUUCAUGUAUGUUUUAGACGAUGAUAUAUAUAAUGAUAACAUAAGGUUGUUUGCUAGUAUAAUAGUAUAACUUCCAUAGUU
Molecule: long non-coding RNA, 342 nt
Organism: Mytilus californianus (California mussel)
Lineage: Eukaryota; Metazoa; Mollusca; Bivalvia; Mytilida; Mytilidae
Exons: 3
Source: RefSeq, a predicted model, not a curated record